Molecule: ribosomal RNA, 1465 nt
Filed under: Clostridium perfringens
Lineage: Bacteria; Bacillati; Bacillota; Clostridia; Eubacteriales; Clostridiaceae
Description: 16S ribosomal RNA
Rfam family: Bacterial small subunit ribosomal RNA
Source: RNAcentral
AGAGUUUGAUCCUGGCUCAGGAUGACGCUGGCGGCGUGCUUACACAUGCAAGUCGAGCGAUGAAGUUUCCUCGGGAAACGGAUUAGCGGCGGACGGGUGAGUAACACGUGGGUAACCUGCCUCAUAGAGUGGAAUAGCCUCCGAAAGGAAGAUUAAUACCGCAUAACUGUUGAAAGAUGGCAUCAUCAUUCAACCAAAGGAGCAAUCCGCUAUGAGAUGGACCCGCGGCGCAUUAGCUAGUUGGUGGGGUAACGGCCUACCAAGGCGACGAUGCGUAGCCGACCUGAGAGGGUGAUCGGCCACAUUGGGACUGAGACACGGCCCAGACUCCUACGGGAGGCAGCAGUGGGGAAUAUUGCACAAUGGGGGAAACCCUGAUGCAGCAACGCCGCGUGAGUGAUGAAGGUUUUCGGAUCGUAAAGCUCUGUCUUUGGGGAAGAUAAUGACGGUACCCAAGGAGGAAGCCACGGCUAACUACGUGCCAGCAGCCGCGGUAAUACGUAGGUGGCGAGCGUUAUCCGGAUUUACUGGGCGUAAAGGGAGCGUAGGCGGAUGAUUAAGUGGGAUGUGAAAUACCCGGGCUCAACUUGGGUGCUGCAUUCCAAACUGGUUAUCUAGAGUGCAGGAGAGGAGAGUGGAAUUCCUAGUGUAGCGGUGAAAUGCGUAGAGAUUAGGAAGAACACCAGUGGCGAAGGCGACUCUCUGGACUGUAACUGACGCUGAGGCUCGAAAGCGUGGGGAGCAAACAGGAUUAGAUACCCUGGUAGUCACGCCGUAACGAUGAAUACUAGGUGUGGGGGUUUCAACACCUCCGUGCCGCCGCUAACGCAUUAAGUAUUCCGCCUGGGGAGUACGGUCGCAAGAUUAAAACUCAAAGGAAUUGACGGGGACCCGCACAAGUAGCGGAGCAUGUGGUUUAAUUCGAAGCAACGCGAAGAACCUUACCUACACUUGACAUCCCUUGCAUUACUCUUAAUCGAGGAAAUCCCUUCGGGGACAAGGUGACAGGUGGUGCAUGGUUGUCGUCAGCUCGUGUCGUGAGAUGUUGGGUUAAGUCCCGCAACGAGCGCAACCCUUGUCGUUAGUUACUACCAUUAAGUUGAGGACUCUAGCGAGACUGCCUGGGUUAACCAGGAGGAAGGUGGGGAUGACGUCAAAUCAUCAUGCCCCUUAUGUGUAGGGCUACACACGUGCUACAAUGGCUGGUACAGAGAGAUGCAAUACCGCGAGGUGGAGCCAAACUUAAAAACCAGUCUCAGUUCGGAUUGUAGGCUGAAACUCGCCUACAUGAAGCUGGAGUUCUAGUAAUCGCGAAUCAGAAUGUCGCGGUGAAUACGUUCCCGGGUCUUGUACACACCGCCGUCACACCAUGAGAGUUGGAAUACCCGAAGUCCGUGAGCUAACCGCAAGGAGGCAGCGGCCGAAGGUAGGGUCAGCGAUUGGGUGAAGUCGUAACAAGGUAACC